CUACGGGACGCUGCAGUGAGGAAUAUUGCACAAUGGGGGGAACCCUGAUGCAGCAACGCCGCGUGGAGGAUGACGCAUUUCGGUGUGUAAACUCCUUUUAUAUGUCAAGAAAAUGACUGUAGCAUAUGAAUAAGCACCGGCUAACUCCGUGCCAGCAGCCGCGGUAAUAGCGGAGGGUGCAAGCGUUACUCGGAAUCACUGGGCGUAAAGGACGCGUAGGCGGGUUGGAAAGUCAGGUGUGAAAUCCUACAGCUUAACUGUAGAACUGCACUUGAAGCUUCUAAUCUAGAGUAUGGGAGGGGGAGAUGGAAUUAGUGGUGUAGGGGUAAAAUCCGUAGAUAUCACUAGGAAUACCUAAAGCGAAGGCGAUCUCCUGGAACAUUACUGACGCUAAGGCGUGAAAGCGUGGGGAGCAAACAGGAUUAGAUACCCCCGUAGUC
RNAcentral lists this ribosomal RNA (440 nucleotides) under uncultured bacterium. RNAcentral describes it as "partial 16S ribosomal RNA". It matches the Rfam family "Bacterial small subunit ribosomal RNA", at positions 339 to 795 of the family's 1533-position model. The record is from RNAcentral.